Molecule: ribosomal RNA, 449 nt
Filed under: uncultured bacterium
Lineage: Bacteria
Description: partial 16S ribosomal RNA
Rfam family: Bacterial small subunit ribosomal RNA
Source: RNAcentral
AACGAACGCUGGCGGCAUGCCUAACACAUGCAAGUCGAACGAGAUCUUCGGGUCUAGUGGCGCACGGGUGCGUAACGCGUGGGAAUCUGCCCUUUGGUUCGGAAUAACAGUUGGAAACGACUGCUAAUACCGGAUGAUGACGAAAGUCCAAAGAUUUAUCGCCAGAGGAUGAGCCCGCGUAGGAUUAGCUAGUUGGUGUGGUAAAGGCGCACCAAGGCGACGAUCCUUAGCUGGUCUGAGAGGAUGAUCAGCCACACUGGGACUGAGACACGGCCCAGACUCCUACGGGAGGCAGCAGUGGGGAAUAUUGGACAAUGGGCGAAAGCCUGAUCCAGCAAUGCCGCGUGUGUGAUGAAGGCCUUAGGGUUGUAAAGCUCUUUUACCCGGGAUGAUGAUGACAGUACCGGGAGAAUAAGCUCCGGCUAACUCCGUGCCAGCCGCCGCAGUAA